AUUGCUUCAUUUAGCAGCGCUUUUUGCUGUACUCGGCGCGUCCGAUGCCCAAAACAACGCGCGCGGCUCGCUCAGAGUUAACGGUGAACAUCCACGAUCGGUGCAAAACGCCGGGGCUUUGGGAUCUGUCAAGAGCACACAAAUUAUCCGUGAUUUUUUUUUUCUCUCCCUCUUCUCUCCCCCUUUCCAAAAUGGCGCACGGGACAUGGAGCGGUGACGUCAUGUACGCAUGCCACACUCGCGCGUCCUCCUCCAUCCUGCUUCAGCAUCACCAAGGUUUCGCAAAGUUUCUCAAGCAACGUUUGGAGUCUGACUGCUAAACUACACUGUACACUGUCUGAAGCACUAUCAUGCAGAAACACAGCUGUCAUGUCAUAGCCAAGAGGAUCAGGGCCACAUUCAGCAGACACGCCGCCUCCGGAGAAGACGCCAUUUUCCGAGGAAAAUAUGGCUCAUUACCAGCGCGGGCAAAAUGAAGCAUCCAUCCGCCUUGGCGAGCACGAAGCCAGAAGACCCAGCAGAUGAGCGUGCUUGAGGUCCUUGAUAUAAUUUGCAUGCGCAGAUCACCGGAGGUCAGACGCGGAGGACGCGCCGCUGCUUCCACUCUUCAUUGGAGCCGGCGCAUUCCAUGCAGAAGUGUGAAAAAUUGGCGACAAAAGUUAAUCUGUCAUCAUGCGUGAUGUCACCAUAUCAUGUGAGACUUUACACUUUUUCAGCCAGCAACUAUUUAUGCAGAUUGUUUUUAUUGCUUUUUAUUUGGCUUUUUUGCAAGCUUUACUAUUCCAAAAGAAGCAAAGACAAAAUCCAGGAGUAAUUG
This is a long non-coding RNA of Phycodurus eques (leafy seadragon), 817 nucleotides long. RefSeq lists it as uncharacterized. The transcript has 5 exons. The record is from RefSeq and is a predicted model, not a curated record. Lineage: Eukaryota; Metazoa; Chordata; Actinopteri; Syngnathiformes; Syngnathidae.